UACGUAGGUGGCAAGCGUUGUCCGGAAUUAUUGGGCGUAAAGCGCGCGCAGGCGGUUCUUUAAGUCUGAUGGGAAAGCCCACGGCUCAACCGUGGAGGGUCAUUGGAAACUGGAGAACUUGAGUACAGAAGAGGAAAGCGGAAUUCCACGUGUAGCGGUGAAAUGCGUAGAGAUGUGGAGGAACACCAGUGGCGAAGGCGGCUUACUGGUCCGGAUCUGACGCUGAGGCACGAAAGCGUGGGGAGCAAACAGG
This 253-nucleotide ribosomal RNA is filed under the name uncultured bacterium. RNAcentral's name for it is "partial 16S ribosomal RNA". It matches the Rfam family "Bacterial small subunit ribosomal RNA", at positions 524 to 776 of the family's 1533-position model. The record is from RNAcentral.